AUGCAAGUGGGGGCCUCUCCACUUAAACCCAGGGCUCCCCUCCACAGUGAGAGUCUGUGCCGAAGUGCAGCUGGUGCAGUCCGGAGCAGAGGUGAAAAAGCCCGGGGAGUCUCUGAGGAUCUCCUGUAAGGGUUCUGGAUACAGCUUUACCAGCUACUGGAUCAGCUGGGUGCGCCAGAUGCCCGGGAAAGGCCUGGAGUGGAUGGGGAGGAUUGAUCCUAGUGACUCUUAUACCAACUACAGCCCGUCCUUCCAAGGCCACGUCACCAUCUCAGCUGACAAGUCCAUCAGCACUGCCUACCUGCAGUGGAGCAGCCUGAAGGCCUCGGACACCGCCAUGUAUUACUGUGCGAGACA
Molecule: non-coding RNA, 357 nt
Organism: Homo sapiens (human)
Lineage: Eukaryota; Metazoa; Chordata; Mammalia; Primates; Hominidae
Source: the annotation of a RefSeq genome assembly